UUUCCGUAGGUGAACCUGCGGAAGGAUCAUUAAAGUUAUAGUCCCCCGGCCCUCUGGGCUGGGGUCUUCUAUACCACCCUUUGUUUAUUACACCUUUGUUGCUUUGGCAGGCCUGCCCUCGGGCUGCUGGCUCCGGCCGGCUCGCGCCUGCCAGAGGACCUAAACUCUGUUUGUAUAUGAAGUCUGAGUACUAUAUAAUAGUUAAAACUUUCAACAACGGAUCUCUUGGUUCUG
This 234-nucleotide unclassified non-coding RNA is filed under the name plant metagenome. Its description in RNAcentral is "partial contains small subunit ribosomal RNA, internal transcribed spacer 1, and 5.8S ribosomal RNA". The record is from RNAcentral.